CCUANGGGGGGCAGCAGUGGGGAAUUUUGGACAAUGGGGGCAACCCUGAUCCAGCCAUGCCGCGUGCGGGAAGAAGGCCUUCGGGUUGUAAACCGCUUUUGUCCGGAAAGAAAAGGCAUCCCCUAAUACGGGGUGUCCUUGACGGUACCGGAAGAAUAAGCACCGGCUAACUACGUGCCAGCAGCCGCGGUAAUACGUAGGGUGCGAGCGUUAAUCGGAAUUACUGGGCGUAAAGCGUGCGCAGGCGGUUCGCUAAGUCUGAUGUGAAAGCCCCGGGCUCAACCUGGGAACUGCAUUGGAAACUGGCGAGCUUGAGUGUGGCAGAGGGGGGUGGAAUUCCACGUGUAGCAGUGAAAUGCGUAGAGAUGUGGAGGAACACCGAUGGCGAAGGCAGCCCCCUGGGCUAACACUGACGCUCAGGCACGAAAGCGUGGGGAGCAAACAGGAUUAGAUACCCCGNUANUC
RNAcentral lists this ribosomal RNA (465 nucleotides) under uncultured bacterium. Its description in RNAcentral is "bacterial SSU rRNA". It matches the Rfam family "Bacterial small subunit ribosomal RNA", at positions 338 to 795 of the family's 1533-position model. The record is from RNAcentral.